CAAACUUUCAAGGCAUGGAUCAACGCUCCAACCAACUGAGCCACACAGCCAGGGCUAAUGCAUAGUGAUUUAUAAAUUACAUGUAUAAAGUGAUAUGCCAGUAUACUUAUAUCAAAAAUUAAAGAAUGGGGUGAAAAAUUAUAAAAAGAAAUUCUAAUAUUUUCUUGAAAUCUCAGUUGUUGCGGCUGACCUGAAGGAUGGCUCCACGACUCAUUAGCAUAGAAAAAAACCAUCAUCUGGCCUCCAGCUACCUCUCCAGCCCACCUGGAACAAACUCCCAGCUACCUCAUGGCAAACUCCUGGGGACUCUUCAGCCCCAAUAUUAUCUCCUCUGAAGUCUUCCCCAGCAUCUCCCAAUACAAUCACCAUCUUGUGACAGAAGUUGCAAGGACAUAGGCAAAGGCUCUGACUGAAAAGCAUGAAUCAACAUGACUCAAAGGUGUGGAGACUGCAAGGGAAUAUUGGUGCUGUGUCAAACAGACAAACAGCUAAGUGUGAAGUGAGACUGGCAAGUUAAAAACUAAAGUGACCCUUUCACUCAUUCUCUUCAUUGUUGUAAAGAGAUUAAAAAAUUAAAUUUAUUUCAUACUCAAAGAAAUAAAUGUACAAUAAUUUGGAAGAGUUUUUGCCGGAAUUGUUGAAAUGAAUUGUUUUUAAACUUUUAAUUAUGAAACAUUUUAACACACUGGCAAACAAAAAAAUAAUAUGUUAACAAAUACGUAUUUCACAUCACUUGAAUUAAGCAGAUGUUAACAUUUUGCCUAGUUUCAGAUUUUUGUUUUCUGUAGAAGACACUGAAGUUACAGGUAUAAUUAAAGCCUUAAACCUCAGUUCCUUCCCCCGUCCCUUGUGCCCAGAGGCAGCUUCCUGUAGAAGGGGUUUUGUUAGCCACUCUUCUGGAAAAUAUUUGAUGCACAGGGAGCCAAAGGUAAAUUCCUGCCAGAGUGUAAAAAAGGUAUAGUCAACAGGAGAAAGAAAAUGAAUUCUGAAUAACAGUGUAAACCAAUUUAUUACUGUGUAUGAGGUGAUUGGUUUCUUCUGCCAGAGGUGGCUUUCAGCAGGAGAAGACAUGAAUUCCCAUUUCAACUGACUAUUUAGUGUGGCUAUACUUGGCUCUGGUUUUGAUUUCUUCUUUUGUAAAAGGAUAAAAUUCUGUCUUGCAAGACUUCUG
This is a long non-coding RNA of Phyllostomus discolor (pale spear-nosed bat), 1171 nucleotides long. RefSeq lists it as uncharacterized. The record is from RefSeq and is a predicted model, not a curated record. Lineage: Eukaryota; Metazoa; Chordata; Mammalia; Chiroptera; Phyllostomidae. The transcript has 2 exons.